This 475-nucleotide ribosomal RNA is filed under the name uncultured bacterium. RNAcentral describes it as "bacterial SSU rRNA". It matches the Rfam family "Bacterial small subunit ribosomal RNA", at positions 29 to 526 of the family's 1533-position model. The record is from RNAcentral.
AAUGAACGUUGGCGGCGUGGAUUAGGCAUGCAAGUCGAGCGGACCCCGCAAGGGGUUAGCGGCGAAAGGGACAGUAACGUGUAGAUACGUACCCUGGGGUCUGGGAUAGCUGCGGGAAACUGCAGGUAAUACCAGAUAACAUCUUCGGAUCAAAGGUGUGAUUCCGCCCUUGGAUCGGUCUACAUCCUAUUAGGUAGUUGGUAAGGUAAUGGCUUACCAAGCCUGUGAUGGGUAGCGGGUGUGAGAGCACGACCCGCGUCAUUGGGACUGGGACACUGCCCAGACACCUACGGGUGGCUGCAGUCGAGGAUCUUCGGCAAUGGGCGCAAGCCUGACCGAGCGACGCCGCGUGUGGGAUGAAGGCCUUCGGGUUGUAAACCACUGUCGUAGGGGAGGAAGGCCAAGUGAAGAACUUGGCUUGACCUAGCCUAGGAGGAAGGGUGGGCUAAGUUCGUGCCAGCAGCCGCAGUAAAAC